GAGCAGCUCACUCCACAGUUUAAUAACCACCUCAGAUAAGACUAUGAAGAAACAGCACCCAUAAUGAGGGGGAAGUACCUGGGAGGAGUGCUAAGAGAGAGACCUGUGAGAAGAGCACCUGCUUGAGAAGUCCUG
Molecule: long non-coding RNA, 135 nt
Organism: Lagopus leucura (white-tailed ptarmigan)
Lineage: Eukaryota; Metazoa; Chordata; Aves; Galliformes; Phasianidae
Exons: 3
Source: RefSeq, a predicted model, not a curated record